UGGGGAAUUUUGGACAAUGGGGGAAACCCUGAUCCAGCCAUCCCGCGUGUGCGAUGAAGGCCUUCGGGUUGUAAAGCACUUUUGGCAGGAAAGAAACGUCAUGGGUUAAUACCCCGUGAAACUGACGAUACCUGCAGAAUAAGCACCGGCUAACUACGUGCCAGCAGCCGCGGUAAUACGUAGGGUGCAAGCGUUAAUCGGAAUUACUGGGCGUAAAGCGUGCGCAGGCGGUUCGGAAAGAAAGAUGUGAAAUCCCAGAACUCAACUUUGGAACUGCAUUUUUAACUACCGGUCUAUAGUGUGUCAGAGGGAGCUGGAAUUCCGCGUGUAGCAGUGAAAUGCGUAGAUAUGCGGAGGAACACCGAUGGCGAAGGCAGCCUCCUGGGAUAACACUGACGCUCAUGCACGAAAGCGUGGGGAGCAAACAGG
Molecule: ribosomal RNA, 429 nt
Filed under: Acidobacteriota bacterium
Lineage: Bacteria; Pseudomonadati; Acidobacteriota
Description: Acidobacteria bacterium partial 16S ribosomal RNA
Rfam family: Bacterial small subunit ribosomal RNA
Source: RNAcentral